UACGGAGGGUGCUAGCGUUGUUCGGAAUCACUGGGCGUAAAGCGCGUGUAGGCGGUCCGUUAAGUCUGAUGUGAAAGCCCGGGGCUCACCCCCGGAAGUGCAUUGGAAACUGACGAACUCGAGUCCCGGAGAGGAGGGUGGAAUUCCUGGUGUAGCGGUGAAAUGCGUAGAUAUCAGGAGGAACACCGGUGGCGAAGGCGGCCCUCUGGACGGUGACUGACGCUGAGACGCGAAAGCGUGGGGAGCGAACAGG
This 253-nucleotide ribosomal RNA is filed under the name uncultured bacterium. RNAcentral describes it as "partial 16S ribosomal RNA". It matches the Rfam family "Bacterial small subunit ribosomal RNA", at positions 524 to 776 of the family's 1533-position model. The record is from RNAcentral.